This 465-nucleotide ribosomal RNA is filed under the name uncultured bacterium. RNAcentral describes it as "partial 16S ribosomal RNA". It matches the Rfam family "Bacterial small subunit ribosomal RNA", at positions 339 to 795 of the family's 1533-position model. The record is from RNAcentral.
CUACGGGCGGCUGCAGUGGGGAAUAUUGGACAAUGGGGGAAACCCUGAUCCAGCAAUGCCGCGUGUGUGAAGAAGGCCUGCGGGUUGUAAAGCACUUUCGGUUGGGAGGACUGCUUCUAGCACUAAUAUUGUUGGAAGUUGACGUUACCUUCAGAAGAAGCACCGGCUAACUCCGUGCCAGCAGCCGCGGUAAUACGGAGGGUGCAAGCGUGAGUCGGAAUUACUGGGCGUAAAGCGCGCGUAGGCGGCUAGAUCAGUCGGGUGUGAAAGCCCCGGGCUUAACCUGGGAACUGCAUCCGAUACUGUCUAGCUUGAGUACAGGAGAGGAGAGUGGAAUUCCACAUGUAGCGGUGAAAUGCGUAGAUAUGUGGAGGAACACCAAUGGCGAAGGCAGCUCUCUGGCCUGAUACUGACGCUGAGGUGCGAAAGCGUGGGGAGCAAACAGGAUUAGAUACCCCAGUAGUC